AGAUUAAUAAAGUAACUGUAAUUAAACAGUGCAUUAAUAAAUUGCGUUAAUAGUGAAACAAUGUGAGACUAAUGCACACAAGAAUGAAAUGAGGUUAAAGAAUAAUAACACAAAGAUUAAAAAUAGAAAUGAAAUCCUCUGAACACCACAUGAACUGUGUGUGUUUGCAGUGAAAGUGGAGGACCGCGGUCCUCAGUGGACCAUCACCACACCAAAGGAACUAACAAAGAUAAACUGUGUGUGGACUGUGUUCAAAGCAGCUGACUUACACCACCACAACAAACGUGGACUCACCUGGUGACCUGUCAUCUGAGUGAAGCAGCGGAGGAACCAGUGACGCAGCCUCAGCAGGACUCUUACCACAGGUGCAAAAAAAACCCCAUCACAGUGUCUCAGUCAGCACCAAACCAAAAGAUGCAGUGACCCAGCUCCACCUGCUGCCGUCUCUCCGCCGAGGCCCGGCGGUGGUCCAGCUCUGAGGAGGAGGUGCCUGAGCAGCGCUCUGAGUCGGACGCUCUGAGUCGGACGCUCUGAGUCAGACGCUCUGAGUCGGACGUUCUGUGCAGAGAGCUGCUGGUUCAGAGCGUCAGGAGAAUGGAAGGUCCAACGGUUCCUCUGCUGCGUCCAUCAGCAGGAGUCUGGACCCCGGCCACAGACGGACCUCUGCUCAACGACAGCCUCAUCCAUUGUACCAUUUUUUAUUUGAAUAUAUAUUAUUUUAGAUUAUUAUUAUUCUGACUUUUAGUUGAUUAAAAGUUCACAUCUCUGUUCUUCUUUUCUGUCGUGAGAAAACCUUUGUGUUUUUUUUUCUUCACUGAAACCAAAUGGAUAAACUCUAAUUGUGAUUUGCACAACAACUUGAUUUUCUCUCUUCUACUUUAAAGUGAAUGAAUGUUUCUGAGGACUCGCUGCUGAUGUGUGUGUUCAGAGCUCAGCAGGUCACACACUGGUCACAUUCAAGCAAACUUUAUUAAUGUGAUAUGAAGCAGUAAUGCAGGUUGAUAAUAUGAGGAGGGAGCUCGCCUAUAUACAGCUCUGCAGGUAUGUGUGGUUACAGGUCGUCAAGUACAAGCACAAGUACACACACUGUGCACUCUGUAUACACACUCUAUACAGUGUCCACCAACAGAAACACACACGCCGGUGUGUGAGCUCACUUCAUGUCACGACACAAAGCGACAACGUUUAGCACCAAUAAUCAAAGAUCUACUCUACAGCACCGAUAAUGAACAGAAAGCAGGAUUAGUUUAAAACACAAACUGCUGUUUGUCA
Long non-coding RNA from Lates calcarifer (barramundi perch), 1272 nucleotides. RefSeq lists it as uncharacterized. The record is from RefSeq and is a predicted model, not a curated record. NCBI's taxonomy places the organism in Eukaryota, Metazoa, Chordata, Actinopteri, Centropomidae. The transcript is spliced from 2 exons.